AGAGUUUGAUCCUGGCUCAGGAUGAACGCUGGCGGCGUGCUUAACACAUGCAAGUCGAACGGUGAAGCCAAGCUUGCUUGGUGGAUCAGUGGCGAACGGGUGAGUAACACGUGAGCAACCUGCCCUGAACUCUGGGAUAAGCGCUGGAAACGGCGUCUAAUACUGGAUAUGAGCUGCGGAGGCAUCUUCGUGGUUGGAAAGAUUUUUCGGUUUGGGAUGGGCUCGCGGCCUAUCAGCUUGUUGGUGAGGUAAUGGCUCACCAAGGCGUCGACGGGUAGCCGGCCUGAGAGGGUGACCGGCCACACUGGGACUGAGACACGGCCCAGACUCCUACGGGAGGCAGCAGUGGGGAAUAUUGCACAAUGGGCGGAAGCCUGAUGCAGCAAUGCCGCGUGAGGGAUGACGGCCUUCGGGUUGUAAACCUCUUUUAGCAGGGAAGAAGCGAAAGUGACGGUACCUGCAGAAAAAGCGCCGGCUAACUACGUGCCAGCAGCCGCGGUAAUACGUAGGGCGCAAGCGUUAUCCGGAAUUAUUGGGCGUAAAGAGCUCGUAGGCGGUUUGUCGCGUCUGCUGUGAAAACCCGAGGCUCAACCUCGGGCCUGCAGUGGGUACGGGCGGACUAGAGUGCGGUAGGGGAGAUUGGAAUUCCUGGUGUAGCGGUGGAAUGCGCAGAUAUCAGGAGGAACACCGAUGGCGAAGGCAGAUCUCUGGGCCGUAACUGACGCUGAGGAGCGAAAGGGUGGGGAGCAAACAGGCUUAGAUACCCUGGUAGUCCACCCCGUAAACGUUGGGAACUAGUUGUGGGGUCCAUUCCACGGAUUCCGUGACGCAGCUAACGCAUUAAGUUCCCCGCCUGGGGAGUACGGCCGCAAGGCUAAAACUCAAAGGAAUUGACGGGGACCCGCACAAGCGGCGGAGCAUGCGGAUUAAUUCGAUGCAACGCGAAGAACCUUACCAAGGCUUGACAUACACGAGAACGCUGCAGAAAUGUAGAACUCUUUGGACACUCGUGAACAGGUGGUGCAUGGUUGUCGUCAGCUCGUGUCGUGAGAUGUUGGGUUAAGUCCCGCAACGAGCGCAACCCUCGUUCUAUGUUGCCAGCACGUAAUGGUGGGAACUCAUGGGAUACUGCCGGGGUCAACUCGGAGGAAGGUGGGGAUGACGUCAAAUCAUCAUGCCCCUUAUGUCUUGGGCUUCACGCAUGCUACAAUGGCCGGUACAAAGGGCUGCAAUACCGCGAGGUGGAGCGAAUCCCAAAAAGCCGGUCCCAGUUCGGAUUGAGGUCUGCAACUCGACCUCAUGAAGUCGGAGUCGCUAGUAAUCGCAGAUCAGCAACGCUGCGGUGAAUACGUUCCCGGGUCUUGUACACACCGCCCGUCAAGUCAUGAAAGUCGGUAACACCUGAAGCCGGUGGCCCAACCCUUGUGGAGGGAGCCGUCGAAGGUGGGAUCGGUAAUUAGGACUAAGUCGUAACAAGGUAACC
This 1483-nucleotide ribosomal RNA is filed under the name Microbacterium sp. sw0106-21. Its description in RNAcentral is "bacterial SSU rRNA". It matches the Rfam family "Bacterial small subunit ribosomal RNA". Lineage: Bacteria; Bacillati; Actinomycetota; Actinomycetes; Micrococcales; Microbacteriaceae. The record is from RNAcentral.